UCAAGUGAAUACCAUCGCGGUGACCCGCAGGCCCGGAUGCCAGGGCGUAAAGGUGGAAGCUGGUGUAAGUCCAGCGCUGUGCCGCAACUGUAACCGGUGACAAUCACCGGAAGCCAGGACGCCUGCCGCGAUGUUGAAUGUGUU
Molecule: non-coding RNA, 144 nt
Filed under: Roseiflexus sp.
Lineage: Bacteria; Bacillati; Chloroflexota; Chloroflexia; Chloroflexales; Roseiflexaceae
Source: RNAcentral